AAUAAAUUUCUAUUAUUUAUAACUUCUUCAAUCUAAAGUAUUUUGUUAUAGCAGCAGGAAUGACCAGGACAACAACCAAAGCUCUUCUCAGGUUCUGGCAGGCCCUGGGAAUGGUGCCCACUCUGUCUGCCCAUGACUGGGGGCCCUGCCUCUGCUUGCUUAUGGUACCCAUUCUGGGCCAUGGGUCAGACACUGCAGAAUCCCCUGACCCACCCCAUCUACAUGGACAUUGCCAGGCCCCCUUCCAGCUGCCAUCUGGAUUCAAGGAUGCUAUGCCUGACCUGGGGUCCAAGGUGCUCACAUCAUUUGGAACAAAGACCGGUACUCCAGAGCCACAGAGAGGCUCCUGGAGCUGGUAAACUUGUUGUUCAGCUAGGCUCCAGCAUCACAUAACUAACUGCGCCCCUCCCCAGAAAAUGUGUGUGUGGAAGCCGGACAGUCUACUGCAGAGACUUUCUGCAAGAGAAUCAUUCCUCAGCCUCUGCCCUUUCAAUUCCUGCUCUGCGAGGCACACAGGGGCGGGGCAGCGAGCAGCCAACUGACAAAUGCCACGGCGUUUAUGGAGUGUGCCCCGGCAGCCCACGUGGUCAGCAGAGGGCCCAGAGCCCCCGCCGGGAUGGUGGUUCUGCGAAGUGGUGUUGGCUGCAGGAGCUAUUCAUUCUUGUCAGCUUCAAGUUGAUCUCUUUUAUGCAUUUAGCCCAACACUUAAAGGGGAAAAUGUCCCUGUUUAAAUGUUAACAAUGUAAAUUCUGCAGGUUUUAAUUCUUCUUUCAUCUGCCUUCAAGGCAGACAUAUUCCAGUUAGCAGAGAGGGAAAUCUAUAUAUUGGAUAAAACUUGCAAAUCUGCAUCUCCGUCAGGGACCAGUCCACAUCGGGUCUGUCCCCGGAGCUUGGGAGCAGGUUGCGGGGAGGGGAGGGCCGCAGGAAGACUGGGUGGGAUGAGGGGCUGCCUCAUCAAUCUCCAUCACUGUCUGCUCUUCUCUCUGCUAGUCACUCCCUUCCAGCCAGGGCCCAGCCCCCCACUUGCCUCUGCUGGACAUACAGCCAUGUCUGCAGCCUAGACAAAAGGUUCGUGUGAGCUCACUGGGGAUACCACGGGCCCUCAGAGCAGUCCCAGCCCUGGUGCUCAGUAGCUGCCCUGUCUUUGUGUGUGUGUGUGUGUGUGUGUGUGUGUGUGUGUGUGUGUGUGUGGAGGGGGUGUUCAGGCACUCUGAUGGCAAUGUAGGGUAAUAUCCAGAUCUGGCAAAGGUUGAGCCUCUCCUGAUCUUUUCAUUCUGCCCUGUGCCCAACCAACAUGCCUGGAGAACAGGCUGCUUCUCCUGGGGCCUGAGCCAUGGCGGAGGAGCAGAGGUCGUGUCACAGACUGGUCACAAAGCCACUGUACUCAGACAUCCUUUGUCCCCUUCUCACCACUGCCUUCACCGAGGCGGGCCCUGAGGGCAGGUGUACCAAUAGAGCACCUGGUCACUUGCUCUCUGGUCAGCUGGUGACAUCUACGCCUGUCUCCUUCAGCCCCUGCCCCUGCAUCUCCAGGGGAAUGGCCCCAAAGCUUGCCCCAUCCUGCUCUCCUGAGAAGACUCCUGAGGCUCUGCCAUGGUUUACGUUCCAGCCCUGCUGGGGACAGCCCCACCAUUCUGUAGCCUUAGCUGCCCCCCAACCCUACAUCCCUGAGCCUGCAGGCAUUGCUGACAGUCUGCUGGGAACUGGCUCUGGACUCACCUCCACUGCAGAGCCUUCCCUCAGCUUGUCACACUUCCUGAUUUGGAUGCAUCUGGGCAGGACCAGGAGGAGGAGCCAUUCCCUAGUUGCAGCAAUCUGGCUAUGCAACUCUGCCUCCCUUCCCAGGAAGUCCCUCCCUCCCAGCACCAGCACUGGCCUCCCACACGAACUCCAGGUUCUGCUCAGACAGUGCUUGGCUGGAGUCUCCUCCUCCAGAAAGUCCUCCCUGAACCCCCAGGGUAUGCAGUUCCUCCUUCACUCCCACCUUUCCCGUCAGAGCUGAUUGCCUGAACGAAGCAUCAGGUGUCUGAUGACCCAGGCACCUGAGAGCACCAACGAGAUGGCCACUGUCCUUGGCCCAUCUUGGUUCCCUGAAGCCUGAGUCUGAUCACUCAGGUUUACUGAACAAAUGACUGAACAAAUGAAUGGGGUGUGUGUAGCAUGGGGGUCUUUGGGGCCUUGCAGGUUUCUAGGUACCACAAGACAGUGCCCUGCCUUGCGGGUCACUUACCCUCUGUGGACAGACCCCUGGGCUGGAAAGGGGCAUUAAGGACAGAUGUUCUGACGUGGCUUGCUCUGGGACAAUUCUGUCCUUGGUUCCUCACAGGUGCUGGUACCCCAGGCUUCAGAAUAAACCCCAAGCGUUUCCCUGCUGGGUACAGCCCCAGUCCCCCACCCCAUGUCUGGUCUGCGACUAUGCUUUUCCUAGAAAUAGGGAGGGUAUCAUGCAAGGCCACCAGAGGGGUACCCCAGCUGUGCUUCCCACAUGCACAGCCUCAAGUAGGAGCCCCAUGGUCAGACAGACCCACAAUCCCUGUAUUCUAGAAUACAAGGCCCAGCUCCCAUCACUCUAUCUUCUUUGCUUGGCCCCAAGGUCCCUGGCAAAGUAAGGGCCACCUUCGUGCUGCCUCUGAAAUUGACAAGUGGCCCCAGCAUUCUCAAGGGCUCUGGACCAGAUCUGGGCUCCACCCCCGUGAUGGUGCCUGGCUCCCACUGCUGUUUGCUAGUGGCAGUUUACCGGAAUGAAGGCUCAGGGCUUUGUGGAGGUUGGGGAUAUUGUUGCUGACAAGCAAGCUUGGAGGUAGGUAGGUGGGACUACAGUCAGAACCCCUGCAGCCUGCAGAGACACUUGGAACACACACAUCAAACAGAAGUCCCAACAUACAUGCAAGAAGAUACAUACACGCACACAAGCAGGCACAGACCCAGGACACUCAGACCUAUUUCUCAUGAAGACCUGCAAACAUAGGUUCCUUGGAUAGUGUCACUUAUACCCCCCCUCAUGAACACACAUGCACACACCUGCCCUGCACAUCCCCCACUCUCACACCACACGUCUUCCCACCUGGGUGUCCCCCGCCUACAUCCACUGCAGCCCUGAGGGGAACAGGCACACAGGCCUGGAAGCUGGCUGCAGUUUCCUAGGAAACGCUGUCACCACUGUGGCAUCACAGAGCCUGGGAGGCCUCCAGUACGUGCCUGACAAGCCCUCAGUGCCCACCAUGGGGCUCAUGCAGCCUGUGGGCGUGCGAUGGAUAAAGAAGAGAUGCCCAGUUCAAAGGCCUGGGUAGGCAGGAGGCGAUGGGGCAGGUACAGCUCACGCCUACCCCAAAGUCCCUGCCUCCACUCAGCACCCUGUCCCAGGGUUUCUCACAGUCACUUUCUCCAUCACGGAACGCAUUAAAAUGCAGCUGCCAUGCCUGCAUUAAUCACACCCCCUUUCUCAGAGCCUAAUCAACUUCUAAUUAACCCUGUUUCUGUCAGUGUGAGAUAACUGAAUUCACUCCGAGUCUUUCUGUGGAUGGAACAGUUGGAGCCCACCUGGCUACUUGUGACGGUACAGAUCUUAAAAAUAACAUGCUUUGGUUUUGAACACAUA
This is a long non-coding RNA of Chinchilla lanigera (long-tailed chinchilla), 3598 nucleotides long. RefSeq lists it as uncharacterized. The record is from RefSeq and is a predicted model, not a curated record. NCBI's taxonomy places the organism in Eukaryota, Metazoa, Chordata, Mammalia, Rodentia, Chinchillidae. The transcript has 2 exons.